This 2814-nucleotide non-coding RNA is filed under the name Pongo abelii (Sumatran orangutan). Lineage: Eukaryota; Metazoa; Chordata; Mammalia; Primates; Hominidae. The record is from RNAcentral.
GCCAGCUUCGACUUCGGCCCCAGACUUAGGGCUCAGCGGGGGCCGGUGAGUAACGGACACGUCCGCCGCCAUCUUGGGAAACCCGGCGCCUUCUGGGACCAGCGAGCCGGGGCGGAGCGGCAUAGAGCGGCAACGAGGGCGCGCCCGUCGAUUGGCUGGGAGAAACCACACCUCCUUCCCUCCCCCCUCACCCCAUUGGCUAAGCCCCAGCCCGCCUCUCAAGAGUUCAAGCUGCGUCUGCGCGCCACAGACCCCGCCCCCUUCCGUUGCAGCGACGCUACUCAGCGCCUGUGCACCUGGGUGGGAGAACCUUGCAGCGCGGGUGGAAUCAAACCACAGAUUAGGGAGUUUGAAGGUUUUAUUGGUGCGGAAUCUGAGGGCACAGCCAAGUCCCCGCCAACUUUGACCCCGGAUCCGAGCGUCACUCAACUGUGGACGGUUCUUCCCCCAUUGCCUCUGUCGGCUGCAUAGACGUGAGGGGCAGAGAGGUGCUCUCCUGCCUAACAUGGUACCUGCCGCUCCGUUUGUGCUCCCUGAAGACGUACAUUAAGGCCACUACGACAGUCACCACGCCCAGGGUCACUAACACCGCCAAGAAGACGAGGACAAAGUGGGAGUUCCCAGCUGUGCAGAGAAAGCGCUAAGUCAAUAUGCGUCCCCCCUGUCUCCAACCCCCCUGCCCCCCGGCUUACGGGUCCAGACCCGCAGCCCCGUGUUAACUCACCCUCAAUGUCCAUCACCACGACCAGGGUGUAUCUGCCUCGUGAGCUGGACGCUUGGCACUGAUAAGUACCAUUAUGUGUUACAUUAACGAAGAACGGGAUCCCCACCGGCACCUCCCGGCUGGAGCCUUCCUUCAAACAUCGCAGCUCGGGGUGCGGGUUGCCCCUGGCUUGGCACUGCAGGACGUGUCUCGUUUUAUCUUUCCACUUCAAGUGCUGGGGGCAUGUGGCUCGGUCAAUUUUGGGACCAUCUGUGGAACCACCAUGUGUGAUCAGACACCCAACACACCCGAGGCACAGUGGUGCCGAGGAGCGUCUAAUCUUUCCAGGGCAGGGGUGGAGGGAUUAAAGGUCAGGGUGACCGACUCACACAGGACACGCAGCUGGACGCUACUGUUCCUGUGAAAGAACUCGCCGUCCACCUCGAGAGUGGCACUGCAGAAGAAGCUGCGUCCGUCGUCACUCUCGGUAGCAUUUAGCUGAAGUUGAGCUGGCUGCCCCGGGGCCGCGGCCGGAACUCCGUCCAGCGUGACCUGGACUCGAGCCCCAGCCAUGCAACUCACGGUCACUGUGGACCCCUCAGGGGCGCUGGGCUCGCUGAGAUUCAGAAUGGGUCCUAGGAAGCCUAAAGGCGGGGCAUUGCCCAGGAGCUUAAUGAACAUGACCUUCCUGUGGGUCAAGCCGCUCCCUCCGCCCUCCCCUUUCCUCUCGGGAUAUCCGGGCCACGCUUUCGGCCGUUCAAGCCUCGCCCUCUUUCCGCGCUGUGUCCAACUUCGGGCACUCAGGCCCAGCCCACGUUGCAACUGCUAUUGGAGCAAGCCAGGCCCCACCUUUUCGGCUAGUCUCCGCCCCCUCUGCCACGCCCCCAGACUGCUGAGGCCGCGCCCCCUUCCCACGCUUCCUCUUACUAAAGACCGUCAAGUUCUCCCGGGCCUCCCGUCUCUCGCCCCCUAGGGUCACGUUGCAGACGAUCUCCUGGGCACCCUCCUGAUCCGCGCGCGCCAUGGCUGUGGCUGUGGCCGUCAGCGUGUCCCCGUGGUUCACGACUGUCGCAUUCAGCAUCUGGUCCCCCAGCGCCAGGUAGACCUGGGCCUCUGAGGCCGGAAAAAGCCCAUCUAGGGUGCAGUCCACCGGCCACGACGUUUCCGCCUCCAAGAACCGGGGAGCCACUAGGCGCGGGGGGGUCACGGGCAGGACUGGGGAGAAAGGUGGGCAUGAGUACAACCCCCAGGACUGUGCCUUCCCCAAGACACCCUCAUCCCCCCCAAUCAGGAUAUUUUGCUGACUGGGUCACCCUUCUUCGCAGGACACACACACAGGGCCAUGAAAACGGCCUUCUCCAAAGAUCUCACGGCUCGGGCCUCCCUUCCGGGGCCACCCUGCCCAGUGGCCGGGGUCUUUCCUUCCCAGAAGCCUGUGAGGUCCAGGGUACCCGACUCUCAGGAACCCCAAGGUCAGGGCACCGUCUACCCUGGCUCAGCUCGUCACCCACCGUCUGAAGCCCCUUCUCUCACCAAAGGUUCGGAGCUGGCGGGGGGCUGAGGUGUUCACGAACAGUCCCAGCCCCCGGGGCUGCAUGUCCAGUUCUGUGCGGCAUGAGAAAUGGGCUCCGUGGUGGCCUCUGCUGGCCAGCACAGUGGCAGUGACCUCCGCUGGCUCUUCCACUGCGGGUUGCCGGCUCAGCUCCUCCUCCCAGCGAAGCAGCACCACCGUGAGGCUGGUCCGGGGCGACCCACCCUCCACUUGGCAGCGCAGGGUGAAGUUCUGGCCCACCGGCUGCCAAAGAGGCAGGGGUGCCAGCUCCACGCGCUCCGGGAGCCCUGAGAGAGGUGGGGAGGAUGGCAUUUAGCGGGUCCUGCAACCCACCCACCCACCCCAGGGACUGGGGAGGAGACAGGGCGGUCCUGCCGAGAACUGUGAGCUUUGAGUUAAUAAACUUAGAGGGCUUAGAACUGGGCCAGUCGAAGCGUUUGCUAUUAUCAUUAGCGCAGUGAUUAUCAUUUCCUGUGUUGUCAGACGCCUUGCAAGGCGCUAAACAAAAUUUUCUGUUCUCAAAGAUGGCACAAUAAAAAAAAAAUGAGGAUGGAAGGGA